AGUACUCGUGGCGUGGAUCGGAAAAGCAUGACGACUGCGAAGCAAUAUGUCGGACUCCACAAGCGACUCCUGUAACGGGGGAUACACAGGAAAGCUCUAUACGUAGAAAACCAACGAAUGACAUGACUUCCACGG
Long non-coding RNA from Ornithodoros turicata, 135 nucleotides. RefSeq lists it as uncharacterized. The record is from RefSeq and is a predicted model, not a curated record. Lineage: Eukaryota; Metazoa; Arthropoda; Arachnida; Ixodida; Argasidae. The transcript is spliced from 3 exons.